UACGGAGGGAGCGAGCGUUGUUCGGAUUUACUGGGCGUAAAGCGUGCGUAGGUGGUUUUCUAAGUUAGAAGUGAAAGCCCAGGGCUCAACCUUGGAACGGCUUUUAAGACUGGAUCACUAGAAUGUGGGAGAGGUAAGCGGAAUUCCGAGUGUAGAGGUGAAAUUCGUAGAUAUUCGGAGGAACACCAAUGGCGUAAGCAGCUUACUGGAACACUAUUGACACUGAGGCACGAAAGCGUGGGGAGCAAACAGG
Molecule: ribosomal RNA, 253 nt
Filed under: uncultured bacterium
Lineage: Bacteria
Description: partial 16S ribosomal RNA
Rfam family: Bacterial small subunit ribosomal RNA
Source: RNAcentral